Molecule: signal recognition particle RNA, 367 nt
Filed under: Otolemur garnettii (small-eared galago)
Lineage: Eukaryota; Metazoa; Chordata; Mammalia; Primates; Galagidae
Description: Metazoan signal recognition particle RNA
Rfam family: Metazoan signal recognition particle RNA
About the family: The signal recognition particle (SRP) is a universally conserved ribonucleoprotein. It is involved in the co-translational targeting of proteins to membranes.
Source: Rfam by way of RNAcentral
GCCGGGCGUUGUGGCGGGCGCCUGUAGUCCCAGCUACUUGGGAGGCGGAGGCAGGAGACUCGCUUGAGCCCAGGAGUUGGAGGUUGCUGUGAGCUGUAAUGCCACGGCACUCUACCCAGGGUGACAGCUUGAGGCUCUGUCUCAAAAAAAAAAAAAAAAUCUGCAUCUUGGUAGUGGUUCUACCAUAGGUGGGGGAUUGAAAAGGCUUCUUCUUUCUUUUUUUGAAAAGUGGUUCUUGCUAUGUUGCCCAGGGUGAUCUUUUUUUUUUGGAGAUAGAGCCUCAAGCUGUCACCCUGAGUAGAGUGCCUUGGCAUUGCAGCUCACAGUAACCUCCAACUCCUGGGCUUAAGCGAUUCUCCUGCCUCAG